RNAcentral lists this ribosomal RNA (831 nucleotides) under Triticum aestivum (bread wheat). RNAcentral describes it as "partial small subunit ribosomal RNA". The record is from RNAcentral. Lineage: Eukaryota; Viridiplantae; Streptophyta; Magnoliopsida; Poales; Poaceae.
AUGUGCACCAGAGGCCACUGGAGGCCGUCGGAGGACGAGAGGCUCAAGGAGCUCGUCGCGCGGUACGGGCCGCACAACUGGAACGCCAUCGCCGAGAAGCUCCAGGGCCGAUCAGGGAAGAGCUGCAGGCUGAGGUGGUUCAACCAGCUGGACCCGAGGAUCAACCGGAGCCCCUUCUCGGAGGAGGAGGAGGAGCUGCUCCUGGCCUCGCACCGCGUCCAUGGCAACCGGUGGGCCGUCAUCGCGAGGCUCUUCCCGGGCCGCACCGACAACGCCGUCAAGAACCACUGGCAUGUGAUCAUGGCGCGCCGGUGCAGGGAGCGGAUGAGGCUGUCGUCCAACAGACGUGCCACGCCCGCCGCCGCCUCCACCACCACCGCCGGUGCCGAGAAAGACGAGAGCCCUAAGAACACCACGGGCGGCGAGAAGCCGAGACUUCCGGAGACGAAUACCAUGGCCGCCUUGCUCCAUAAGUACCGCAGAGAAUUUGCUGCCCCCUUCGCGAUCAGCCAUCACAGUAGCAAGGAGGGUUACUGCUCAUCCACGAAUGAAGGUGAAAUGAUUGAUCCAUUGCAUGCAUGCAGGGUUCUAGUAUACAGAGCGUUCUCCCAUCAGUUUAGCUUGUAUGUCUGGAAUGAGUCAAUUAGGGUUUGUUUUGCAGAUACGAAUAGAUCGGUGGAGUUCUACGAUUUCCUCCAGGUGAACGUGAGCUCGAGCGACACCAAGUGCGGCUCGAGCAUCGAGGAGAACCGGGACGACGACGACGAUCAGCAAGCCGAAGGGCAGGUGUCGCUCAUAGAUUUCAUGGAGGUUGGGACUUCUCGUCAGUGA